UCCGUAGGCUACCUGCGGAAGGAUCAUUACC
RNAcentral lists this ribosomal RNA (31 nucleotides) under Diplodia seriata. RNAcentral describes it as "partial 18S ribosomal RNA". The record is from RNAcentral. Lineage: Eukaryota; Fungi; Ascomycota; Dothideomycetes; Botryosphaeriales; Botryosphaeriaceae.